CAGCGCCACGAGUGGGGACCGGUAUUAUUGGGCCUAAAGCAUCCGUAGCCGGGUUGGUAAAUUCUUUGUGAAAUUGUUGGGCUUAACCUAACAGCGUGCAGAGAAGACUGCUAAUCUUGAGACCGGGAGGAGUUAGAAGUAUGCAUGGGGUAGCGGUAAAAUGCAGUAAUCCCUUGUAGACUACCUGUGGCGAAGGCGUCUAACUAGAACGGGUCUGACGGUGAGGGAUGAAAGCUGGGGGAGCGAUCCGGAUUAGAUACCCCAGUAGUCC
Molecule: ribosomal RNA, 271 nt
Filed under: uncultured archaeon
Lineage: Archaea
Description: partial 16S ribosomal RNA
Rfam family: Archaeal small subunit ribosomal RNA
Source: RNAcentral